UACGUAGGUGGCAAGCGUUGUCCGGAUUUAUUGGGUUUAAAGGGUGCGUAGGCGGCUUUGUAAGUCAGUGGUGAAAUAUGGCAGCUCAACUGUCAGGGUGCCAUUGAUACUGCAGAGCUUGAGUACAGAUGAGGUAGGCGGAAUUGACGGUGUAGCGGUGAAAUGCUUAGAUAUCGUCAAGAACACCGAUAGCGAAGGCAGCUUACUUGGCUGUAACUGACGCUGAGGCACGAAAGUGUGGGGAUCAAACAGG
Molecule: ribosomal RNA, 253 nt
Filed under: uncultured bacterium
Lineage: Bacteria
Description: partial 16S ribosomal RNA
Rfam family: Bacterial small subunit ribosomal RNA
Source: RNAcentral